Molecule: ribosomal RNA, 978 nt
Filed under: Actinomortierella wolfii
Lineage: Eukaryota; Fungi; Mortierellomycota; Mortierellomycetes; Mortierellales; Mortierellaceae
Description: eukaryotic LSU rRNA
Rfam family: Eukaryotic large subunit ribosomal RNA
Source: RNAcentral
AGUGAAGCGGGAAGAGCUCAAAUUUAAAAUCUGGCCGGGUUACCGGUCCGAGUUGUAGUUUAAAGAAGUGUUUUCGGCGGCAACCUGGGUACAAGUCCUUUGGAACAGGGCAUCAUAGAGGGUGAGAAUCCCGUCCAUGACUCAGUGGAUGCUGCUAUGUGAUACACUUUCAAAGAGUCGAGUUGUUUGGGAUUGCAGCUCAAAAUGGGUGGUAAAUUUCAUCUAAAGCUAAAUACAGGCGAGAGACCGAUAGCGAACAAGUACCGUGAGGGAAAGAUGAAAAGAACUUUGAAAAGAGAGUUAAACAGUGCGUGAAAUUGUUGAAAGGGAAACGUUUGGCACCAGUCAUGCGUUCAGGAAAUCAGUCUAUCGAGGUGGGGAGCUGCAGAGGUUUGGACCGCAAGGCCAGCUUUUGUUGCAUUUCUGCUUGGAUGGAUGCACUUUUCUGUAUGCAGGUCAACAUCAGUUUUGUUCGCCGGAAAAAACCUCAAGAGAAUGUGACAGCUUUGGCUGUGUUAUAGCUCUGGGGCGAUACGGUGGGUGAGACUGAGGCUUUCAGUGUGUGCUUUCGGGCAAGGCUGACCGGGUGCUGCGGGCCAGUACGAGGUACAAUACAUGUAUUUUGCUUCGUGUCUGGCUUGCACUCGCUCGAAUCGGCUCUUCCACGCUUAGGAUGUUGACAUAAUGGUUCUAAACGACCCGUCUUGAAACACGGACCAAGGAGUCUAACAUAUAUGCGAGUGUUUGGGUGGCAAACCCAUGCGCGUAAUGAAAGUGAACGUAGUGCGAUCCGCAAGGUGCAGCAUCGACCGAUCUUGAUAUUUUUGGAUAGAUUUGAAUAAGAGCAUAUAUGCUGGGACCCGAAGAUGGUGAACUAUUCCUGAAUAGGGUGAAGCGGGAAGAAACUCUGGUGGAGGCUCGUAGCGAUUCUGACGUGGCAAUCGAUCGUCAUUUUGGUAUNNGGGCNAAANACUAAUC